RNAcentral lists this ribosomal RNA (873 nucleotides) under Triticum aestivum (bread wheat). RNAcentral's name for it is "partial small subunit ribosomal RNA". Lineage: Eukaryota; Viridiplantae; Streptophyta; Magnoliopsida; Poales; Poaceae. The record is from RNAcentral.
AUGAGGAUCCUGCGGGGCACUUGCAAGCAUUCAUUAGACACUAUCAGUAGGCACUUCUCCUCCGUGUUAACAACCAUACUUUCCCUAAGUGGGGAGUUUAUCAAGCUUCCCAAUCCAUCUAUCGAGCCUCCAGAUGAUUACAAAUGGAAGUGGUUUGGCAAUGCAUUGGGAGCACUAGAUGGGUGUCAUGUUGAUGUUUCUGUUGUUCCAUCUUACCAAGGAAGGUAUAGGAACAGAAAGCAAGCGAUCACCACUAACAUGCUAGGUGUGGUUGACCGGAACAUGAAAUUUCUUUAUGUUCUACCUGGCUGGGAGGGAUCUUCAUCUAACUCGAGAGUGAUGCGUGAUGCAAUGAGAAAUAAUCGUCAAGAUGCAUUUGUUGUACCUCAGGGAAAGUAUUACUUAGUGGAUGCUGGCUACACCAAUGGGCCGGGCUUUCUUGCUCCAUUCCAGUCGACUCGGUGCCACUUGAAAGAGUGGGUUGCAAGUCAACAACAGCCCCAAACUUCUAAAGAGCUCUAUAACUUGCGUCAUUCUCGUGCUAGAAAUGUUGUGGAGAGAACUUUUGGAUUGUGGAAGAAAAAAUGGGCUAUACUAAGAGUUCAAUCUUUCUUUGAUAUAAAGGACCAGAUUCGAAUUAUUAAUGCUUGUUGCGUGUUACACAACUUUGCAAGGGAUAGGCAACAUGUGAUGGAUGAUCUAUUGCUUCUAGAAGUUGACCAUGAAGUAGAUGAUUUGGAACUUGAGCCGGGGGAUGACGCUAACUUAAAUACAUCUGUUGAAGUCACAAAUGAAUGGACCAACUUUAGGCAAAACUUUGCAGAUGACAUGUAUGCCAAGUACCUUGUGAGGCAUGCAAAACUAGAGAUGUAG